Molecule: ribosomal RNA, 724 nt
Filed under: uncultured Fusobacterium sp.
Lineage: Bacteria; Fusobacteriati; Fusobacteriota; Fusobacteriia; Fusobacteriales; Fusobacteriaceae
Description: bacterial SSU rRNA
Rfam family: Bacterial small subunit ribosomal RNA
Source: RNAcentral
GAUGAACGCUGACAGAAUGCUUAACACAUGCAAGUCGACUCGAGUCUUUGGACUUGGGUGGCGGACGGGUGAGUAACGCGUAAAGAACUUGCCUCAUAGUCUGGGACAACAUUUGGAAACGGAUGCUAAUACCGGAUAUUAUGCUUUCUUCGCAUGGAGGAAGUAUGAAAGCUAUAUGCGCUAUGAGAGAGCUUUGCGUCCCAUUAGCUAGUUGGUGAGGUAACGGCCCACCAAGGCGAUGAUGGGUAGCCGGCCUGAGAGGGUGAACGGCCACAAGGGGACUGAGACACGGCCCUUACUCCUACGGGAGGCAGCAGUGGGGAAUAUUGGACAAUGGACCAAAAGUCUGAUCCAGCAAUUCUGUGUGCACGAUGACGUUUUUCGGAAUGUAAAGUGCUUUCAGUCGGGAAGAAGCAAGUGACGGUACCGACAGAAGAAGCGACGGCUAAAUACGUGCCAGCAGCCGCGGUAAUACGUAUGUCGCAAGCGUUAUCCGGAUUUAUUGGGCGUAAAGCGCGUCUAGGCGGCAAGGAAGGUCUGAUGUGAAAAUGCGGGGCUCAACUCCGUAUUGCGUUGGAAACUGCCUUACUAGAGUACUGGAGAGGUAGGCGGAACUACAAGUGUAGAGGUGAAAUUCGUAGAUAUUUGUAGGAAUGCCGAUGGGGAAGCCAGCCUACUGGACAGAUACUGACGCUAAAGCGCGAAAGCGUGGGUAGCAAACAGG